UAUGUGAUCGUCUCUCGCAUAUCAAUAAGCGGAGGAAAAGAAACUAACAAGGAUUCCCCUAGUAACGGCGAGUGAAGCGGGAAGAGCUCAAAUUUGAAAUCUUAAAGGGUUUCCCUUUACGAAUUGUAGUUUAAAGAAGUGUUUUCUGUUGAGGUUUUGGUAAAAGUUCUUUGGAAUAGGACAUCAUAGAGGGUGAGAAUCCCGUAUUUGACCUUUACUUUCAACUUUGUGAUACACUUUCAAAGAGUCGGAUUGUUUGGGAAUGCAGUCCAAAAUGGGUGGUAAAUUUCAUCUAAAGCUAAAUAUUGGCGAGAGACCGAUAGCGAACAAGUACCGUGAGGGAAAGAUGAAAAGAACUUUGAAAAGAGAGUUAAACAGUACGUGAAAUUGUCAAAAGGGAAGCGUUUGACACCAGUGUUGUUUUUCUGAAAAUCAAUUAAAGAACUGUUUAUGCUAAGUUGUUUAGACUUUAUCAGCUAUCUGCUUAGUUUUGAGCUUUUCUUUAAUGCACUUUUCAGUUAACAAGGUCAACAUCAAUUUCUUUUGCUGUAAAAAAGCUUGAGGAAGGUGGCUUGAGAUUCGUCUUAAGUGUUUAUAGCCUCUUGCCUAUGCAGUCGGAGAGAUUGAGGUCUGCAGCGUAGAUCCUUCGGGGCUAAAUGCAUUUGUGCUAAGUUAUAGCAUUUUAUAGACAACUUGUUGACUAUGAUUUGUCUUGUAGCUUACUCGCUUAUGUUAUUUUACCUACGCUUAGGAUGUUGACACACGCGCGUGCUCG
Molecule: ribosomal RNA, 775 nt
Filed under: uncultured Neocallimastigales
Lineage: Eukaryota; Fungi; Neocallimastigomycota; Neocallimastigomycetes; Neocallimastigales
Description: partial large subunit ribosomal RNA
Rfam family: Eukaryotic large subunit ribosomal RNA
Source: RNAcentral